Small nuclear RNA from Acomys russatus (golden spiny mouse), 107 nucleotides. NCBI's taxonomy places the organism in Eukaryota, Metazoa, Chordata, Mammalia, Rodentia, Muridae. The record is from RefSeq and is a predicted model, not a curated record.
GUGCUCACUUUAGCAGCACAUAAACUAAAACUGGACUGAUACAGAGAGGACUAACAUGGCCCCGGUGCAAGGAUGACAUGCAAAUACUUGAAGUGUUCCAUAUUUUU